GCUUAAGUAGUUUAAUUAAAAUAUUGAUUUGUGGUGUCAGUGAUGUAUAUAUUACCUUGGGCU
Molecule: transfer RNA, 63 nt
Filed under: Marginitermes cactiphagus
Lineage: Eukaryota; Metazoa; Arthropoda; Insecta; Blattodea; Kalotermitidae
Description: tRNA-His
Source: RNAcentral